Molecule: long non-coding RNA, 2189 nt
Organism: Sinocyclocheilus grahami
Lineage: Eukaryota; Metazoa; Chordata; Actinopteri; Cypriniformes; Cyprinidae
Source: Ensembl
GCAAUAUUGUGGAUAGAGAAACAAUGAUAUAUUGUUUUUUACAAACACGCAGCUUUUCACUUCACAAAGAUGGACUGGAGUGGUGUGGAUUACUUGUGGAUUAUUGUGAUGUUUUUAUCAGCUGUUUGGACUCUCAUUCUGACGGCACCCAUUCACUGCAGAGCAUCCAUUCGUGAGUGAUGUAAGACUAUAAGGCAUGAAAAUAAACAUUGUCAUCAUAAUUUUCUGUAAAGCUGCUUUGAAACAAUGCAUAUUAUGAAAAGCGCUGUAUUAAUGAUUUUGAUUUGUGUGUUAUCUGUCUCAGGGUGUGGGAUAGCCGUACCUGGCAGGUCACUAACACAUUUCCGGCAAAGCAGUACAUCCAGACACACUGUGACAUCAGUUCCAACUGUUACCACCUGCUGUCGUCCAGCAAUGGUUUCGGUGGUCAGGGUUGUGAGGCCACGCUGUGGGACCUCAGACAGCCCGGCUGUAAGGUGGCCGAAUACAGAGGACACCUGCAGACCACAGCAUGCUGCAUGUUUGUGCCUCCCAGUCCCGGAUAUCCUGCUCUCGUGGCGUCAUCGGCGUAUGACAGCUCAGUAAAAAUAUGGGAUCAGAACACUGCAGCGUGUUUGUACACGUUAACGCUGGACGGUUCAGGGCCUUUGGUGUCUCUGGCUCCGUGUGACUCCAGCAGUCUCCUGUGUGCCAGUUUUAACACAGGACUGCAUCAGCUGCAUCUAGAUCAGGGAGCAAUGCCCAGCCUCACUGAAGUGGCUCGCUUCUGACGUCCAUCUGGACCGCCUGGAAAAUCAAACUAAUGAGUUAAAACAAACAUAUUUAAUAACUGGAACUCCUGGAAAUGAGAAUGCACACUACAAUAUGUAGACACCCUCUUCUUAUUAAAUGAAUAGGUCAAAAAUGAAAAUUUGCAUCUUCAGGCCAUCCAAGAUGUAGAUGAGUUUGUUUUUUCAUCUGAACAGAAUUGGAGAAAUGUAGCAUUACAUCACUUGCUAACCAAUGGAACCUCUGCAGUGAAUGGGUGCCGUCAGAACAGUCCAAACAGCUGAUAGAAACAUCACAAUAAUGUUUGUAAUAAUCAAAUCCAUUAAGAUAUUUUUAACUUCAAACCAUUGCUUUAAGCCAAAAUAUGAGUCCUCUUUCCAUAUCAUUGCUUUCUUCAGUGGGAAAAAGUCAUCUCAUCUGAAUCAGGAGAGAAAUAUUCAUAGAUCAAGUACUGUUUACAAGCAUAAGAAGUUCUAAAUAAUUUGAUUUUGAUGUGAGAGGACAACGGGGCAUGAACUUUUUCACUGAACACUUCCAAAAUCAUACUUAAUAUUAUAGAUUAUGGACUCAAUUUUGGGCAGAAAAGUUCAAAUGUGGAUUAUUGUGAUGUUUUUAUCAGCUGUUUGGACUCUCAUUCUGACGGCACCCAUUCACUGUAGAGGAUCCAUUGGUGAGCAAGUGAUGUAAUGCUACAUUUCUAGACAAUAUUGUUUCCUCAUUUAUUUCUGAAGAUUUUUUUUUUUUUUUAACUUCUGCUUAACUACAAUUAAAUGUGGACUCUUUUUUUUAUAUACAUUCCCACAAAUAUAUUUUCAGCUGUGUACUUUCACUUACAACUGAGUAAAAUUUACAUACCCGUACUUUUUACACUCCUGUUGGAAAAAAAAGACCUUUUAUUUGCACUUUUCAUUAAGCAAUCAAUGGGUCAAAAUGAUUCACUGCCAGAAUCAUUCAUGCAGAAAGUACAUAGACGCAUAUGAAAUCUCAGUCUCUCACUCUACCUGUGCACACACAUUCACACAGGCUCAGGGUUUGGCAACAUGGGAAACUGAAUCAUUUUUCACAUAGAAGCUGCUAGAGUUUACACACUCAUAAACACAUUCAAACAUUUAUGUAAACAGACUGGUCUUGUAUCUCACACACGGAGAGAUCCUGAGGAGAGGGAGAGGAUGCUUAUGAGAUGAUCUGGUCUUUUGAGUGAGUGAAGUGACAUGUGGCCAAGUAUGGUGACCCAUACUCGGAAUUAGUGCUCUGCAUUUACCCAUCCAAAGUGCACACACACAGCAGUGAACACACACAAACCGUGAACACACACCCGGAGCAGUGGGCAGCCAUUUUUGCUGCGGCGCCCGGGGAGCAGUUGGGGGUUCGGUGCCUUGCUCAAGGGCACCUCAGUCAUGGUAUUGAAGGUGGGAGAGAGC